RNAcentral lists this long non-coding RNA (2134 nucleotides) under Gossypium barbadense (sea-island cotton). RNAcentral's name for it is "long non-coding RNA (GBAR_LNC016235)". Lineage: Eukaryota; Viridiplantae; Streptophyta; Magnoliopsida; Malvales; Malvaceae. The record is from RNAcentral.
AAAAGGUGAUAUAAGGACAAUUAUAGAAGACUUGAGGAAUAAUCUUUAUAGCCGUAUUUUAAAGAAAGAGAAAGAAAAAGGAGUAAAGUGUGUCUUAUUCCUAGAGUUGGAGUUGAAGUCGGAAUUUGGAAGAUUCUCUUCACUUGCCGGCCAAUUUCUUUUUUCUUUUAAGAAAAGAAGGGUAUAGUAAGUAAAUGAAGGAGAGGGAAAUUUUAUAAUCUUGGUCUUCGGUCAGAGAUUUUGGAGGGAUAUGCCCACUAGUUCAAUCUGCUCAUUGUAACUCUCCUUUUCAGUCCAAAAACAAUAGGGCUAGCUGGAUUCUCCUUUCCUCCAAAAUCGAUUAUUGGCCUUCAUCUCCAUGCUUUUGUUCUAUCUAUAUACAAACAAAUAUUUAUCAAUUCAAAUUCCAACUUUGAAAAAGAUAAAAAUAAUAGUAAGCAAAAGUAAUUUAUGUACAAUUUAAAUAUAAAGUAGAGGUACCUCUAUUACACACACGAUACACGUGCGGAAAUUCAGCACUAAAAUAUCCUGACACCGAACCAAUAUCAUCAAUCACAAUUCCGGAUAAUAUUUUACCCUUACUCUUACAUCCAUACUUAUAAAUGUAUAAAUUCUUCAAUAAAUACACAAUAUGGAUAUAUCUUGUAAAACGCUUCCCAAGAUAUAUCAAUAAAACUCUCAAAUCUUUGCUUUCAAAAGAAAAAUUACUUUGUAUAAAAGUUACAAAUCAUUUAAUUUAGACUCUUUCAAAUCUGUAAAUUAUUUAUUAUUGUGAUAAAUUGUAUUUCAAUCAAUUAUAUUCAACUCAGUAACUAAUCUUUACGUUUUAUAAGCCUCGGGUUUUAAAACCGCCUCAUACACAAGGUAAAAAUCGAACCCUCGAUUAAUGAUUAAGAUAAAAAGUAUUCUUACCAUCUCACUUAAACCAUGAUUAAUUUUUUCUCAUUUUCGGUUUGGGUUUUAGGCGAAAAUGGAAGGUUGAUUUCAUGAUGAUGUCAUUACCAAUCCAAUAAUUAAGAACCCUAUUAUUUCAUGUCUAUGAGUUCCUUGUGGAAAGGAAAAGUUUUUCUUGGUUUCUUUGAUUACUUUUCAACUACCUAAAGUAGAGUUACCUUUUUGUUUUAUGGUUUGAAUUCCAUGGAUAUGAAAGGGGAGAGAAAAGGCAAGGCUGUAUUUUUUACCAUCUUCACAUUCCGUUAAUCUACGAAAGCAUUUCCAGUUAUAUCUCAUCUAAUCUAAUCAGGUUCAUAUUCAUCUAAUGUGUUAUGGUAAAUGUUUAGAAGGAGUACUUUCCUUUUUCAUUUUCUUAAUAAUUCUACCUCUGUGAAAUUAAAUGCUAAUUACAUUUUAUCGGACCUAAUUAUUUUCGGAUAUGAAUGUACAUUUAAUACAAGGUUUUUUUUUUUUUUAAAUUCACAUAUUUAUAUGAUGAUAUUUAGAGGUGUUUAUGGCCAGAUCAGAUUCUACCGAAAUUUUAGACCCAAUUGAUAGGUCCGGGCUUGGCCUGCAAAAAUAAAUUUAAAAUUUUGUUCAAGUCCAGCCUGGAUUAUAGAUGCUAAACCCGAACCUGACAUGUAUUAAUUUUUUGUUUUAAAAGACUGAAGAUAAUUUCAACUCUCUGUUUCUCGUUCUCGAGAAAUAUACAGAUAAUCAUACAUAAAAAAUAUUUGUAGAGUAAGAGAGACAGACAAAAGCUUGAAGAAAGGUUUAGGGGCCGUAGUUUUUUCUCGAGAAAUAGUUGGAACGAAUGUGGGUUUUUCUUAUUUUGAUGGCAUUAUAUAUGAACUAUGGGAGUAGCAUUUAAAAAUUUGAUGGCAUUAUAUAUGAACUGUGGGAGUAGCAUUUAAAAAUUUCUUUUCUUUUUCUAUAAGAAAAAUAAAAGAACAAAAUAUAUGAACUGUGGAAGUAACCGUGGAAGUAUGGUGCAUACAUACCAAGCAAACCAGUGGGACGACAAUGGCUGAAGGUUGGAGCGGAGAAGGCGACAAAGGAAGCUACAAUGGUGCACGUCGGAGACAGAGGAAGCAACAAGAAGAUGGAUGACGCAAGUCGCAAUGCUUAUGGGCAGGAGUGGGACGAUGCAAUGGUGAUGGUCGCCAACGACAAAGGAAGCGGGAGACAAAGUGGUGAGCGG